UCUCCGUUGGUGAACCAGCGGAGGGAUCAUUAUAGAGUUUUCAAAACUCCCAACCCAUGUGAACUUACCUAUGUUGCCUCGGUGGGAGCCUACCCUGUACCUACCCUGUAACGGGUUACCCGGGAGCGGCCCCACCGGUGGACCAUUUCAACUCCGCGUCUUAUGCGUCGGUUUAAAUUGAUGAAUAUUAUCAAAACUUUCAACAACGGAUCUCUUGGUUCUGGCAUCGAUGAAGAACGCAGC
Molecule: unclassified non-coding RNA, 243 nt
Filed under: uncultured fungus
Lineage: Eukaryota; Fungi
Description: sequence contains ITS1, 5.8S rRNA gene
Rfam family: 5.8S ribosomal RNA (bases 195-243)
Source: RNAcentral